GGCGCACGGGUGAGUAAUGCUUAGGAAUCUGCCCUGUAGUGGGGGACAACCCGGGGAAACUCGGGCUAAUACCGCAUAAUCUCUUCGGAGGAAAGCGGGGGAUCUUCGGACCUCGCGCUAUUGGAUGAGCCUAAGUCAGAUUAGCUUGAUGGUGGGGUAACGGCCUACCAUGGCGACGAUCUGUAGCUGGUCUGAGAGGAUGAUCAGCCACACUGGGACUGAGACACGGCCCAGACUCCUACGGGAGGCAGCAGUGGGGAAUAUUGCACAAUGGGCGAAAGCCUGAUGCAGCCAUGCCGCGUGUGUGAAGAAGGCUUUCGGGUUGUAAAGCACUUUCAGCAGGGAGGAAAGGAUGUAGAUUAAUACUCUGCAUCUGUGACGUUACCUGCAGAAGAAGCACCGGCUAACUCCGUGCCAGCAGCAGCGG
Molecule: ribosomal RNA, 427 nt
Filed under: uncultured bacterium
Lineage: Bacteria
Description: partial 16S ribosomal RNA
Rfam family: Bacterial small subunit ribosomal RNA
Source: RNAcentral